This is a long non-coding RNA of Oryzias melastigma (Indian medaka), 1298 nucleotides long. RefSeq lists it as uncharacterized. Lineage: Eukaryota; Metazoa; Chordata; Actinopteri; Beloniformes; Adrianichthyidae. The record is from RefSeq and is a predicted model, not a curated record. The transcript is spliced from 3 exons.
UUAGUCUAUAAAAAUAGGGAUCGCUCGAGGACGUUAAAAGUUGUUUUCUUUUGAGAUUCGCUUCAUUUAAAAACUACAACACUAGGAUGAAAGAGCAAAACUCAGAACAAAAAGUGAGUCAAACGAAGAUGGAGAUUGUGUUUGCAGCAUGUAGCGGCGUGUUCGGAUGGAAAUAAUCUUAAAGCGGAGCCUUUUUCCAUGAGGAUGGGAGGAAGAAGGGAUGGAGAUCGGAACCUCCAAGUCGGAGGUUUUCAGCUUAGGACAGCUGGAAAGUCUCCUCCAGAAAAACAGCAGCGUGCCUUUUCUUUCUGCCACCGUGAUGCAUGUCAGCCAUCAGCAACCGUCCCCCAGGAAUGACAUCAUCUCUCAGAGCGCAAAGUUGAUGGAUCCUUCUCCAUUCAGGGGGGGGUUGAUGAAGCAGGUAGCUCCGCAGGAAGGUGAGGUGGAGGAAAACCGCCAAAAAACCCGCACGGCGCUUUGUCAACGUCACCGUGGCGCUCUCAGGGUCCCAAAGCAGCCCAGACAGAGAUUAACAACAGGCAGGAUUUAGUGGAAGAUUAUAUUUGCAUCAUCAUCAUCAGAGAUAUCAGGUUAUCUCACCACAUCUUUUUCAGAGUGAAACACUGAUUGCAUUCAGUCGUUUCAGCCUGAGAACCCGCCUUAGAUAAAGAGCCACAAAUGAAGAGAGAAGACGGGACUCACUUAAGGUUUUCAGCUGUAAUGGAACAGCGGGGGGGCUUCACAGCCGGAGUUAAAAUGUAAUUUAACUCCUCAAACGUGUGCGGGCACACGGACGGCCAUCGCACUGUAAAUGAGACAAGGACGACAGUGGAGAUGCGGUGCGGCCUGCAGCCCGGCUUCUGUCAAGGGCGAAUCAGAGCUGUCAGAAAGCAUCAAGCACCGCUGCCAUGGCAACCGCGUUAGCACCCUCGAAGGUCACAAGAUGGAGAGAGCGUUCCCCUCCUGCUGGGAGGCUGUCAAGAAUGACACACAACUUAAGCCACACACAGCCUCAUUUAAAAACAGUUUAUCACAGCGUGCCUUUUUUUAUUUGUGCAGGCGGGAUUUUGCGCAUCUAAGAGAGAGCGAUGUUUGUUUUUGACUGUACUUAUAUUUAGAAAUAGUGAGUUUUUUAAGCUGUAGGAGAUAUAUCACUCUAACAGGAUUCUAUUUUGGGAGAAAAAUUACAAAUUGGAAAGCACAGGAUUGUGUACAAACCCACACAUCCGCACUCAUUUAUAACACACUCACUUCACAGCAGGUUCAUGGGCUCAUUAAAGUUUUCCCAGCUGUCUGGA